UCCCUGGUGGUCCAGUGGCUAAGACUCUGCACUUGCAAUGCAGGAGGCCUGGGUUCAAUAUUUGAUCAGGGAA
This 73-nucleotide transfer RNA is filed under the name Ovis aries (sheep). It matches the Rfam family "tRNA". From Rfam's summary of the family: Transfer RNA (tRNA) molecules are approximately 80 nucleotides in length. The record is from Rfam by way of RNAcentral. Lineage: Eukaryota; Metazoa; Chordata; Mammalia; Artiodactyla; Bovidae.